AACGAACGCUGGCGGCAGGCCUAACACAUGCAAGUCGAACGGGCCCUUCGGGGUCAGUGGCAGACGGGUGAGUAACGCGUGGGAACGUGCCCUUCAGUUCGGGAUAACCCAGGGAAACUUGGGCUAAUACCGGAUACGUGCGAGAGCAGAAAGAUUUAUCGCUGAAGGAUCGGCCCGCGUCUGAUUAGCUGGUUGGUGGGGUAAUGGCCCACCAAGGCGACGAUCAGUAGCUGGUCUGAGAGGAUGAUCAGCCACAUUGGGACUGAGACACGGCCCAAACUCCUACGGGAGGCAGCAGUGGGGAAUAUUGGACAAUGGGCGCAAGCCUGAUCCAGCCAUGCCGCGUGAGUGAUGACGGCCUUAGGGUUGUAAAGCUCUUUCGCACGCGACGAUAAUGACGGUAGCGUGAGAAGAAGCCCCGGCUAAGUUCGUGCCAGCCGCCACCGUAA
Molecule: ribosomal RNA, 449 nt
Filed under: uncultured bacterium
Lineage: Bacteria
Description: partial 16S ribosomal RNA
Rfam family: Bacterial small subunit ribosomal RNA
Source: RNAcentral